GACGGGGGAGGCAAGCGUUAUCCGGAAUUAUUGGGCGUCAAGCGUCCGCAGGUGGCGAGUCAAGUCUGCUGUCAAAGGUCGGGGCUUAACCCCGGGAAGGCAGUGGAAACUGAAUAGCUAGAGUGCGGUAGGGGCAGCGGGAAUUCCCGGUGUAGCGGUGAAAUGCGUAGAGAUCGGGAAGAACACCAGUGGCGAAAGCGCUCUGCUGGGCCUGCACUGACACUGAGGGACGAAAGCUAGGGGAGCGAAAGGG
This 253-nucleotide ribosomal RNA is filed under the name uncultured bacterium. Its description in RNAcentral is "partial 16S ribosomal RNA". It matches the Rfam family "Bacterial small subunit ribosomal RNA", at positions 524 to 776 of the family's 1533-position model. The record is from RNAcentral.